RNAcentral lists this ribosomal RNA (1806 nucleotides) under Triticum aestivum (bread wheat). Its description in RNAcentral is "partial small subunit ribosomal RNA". Lineage: Eukaryota; Viridiplantae; Streptophyta; Magnoliopsida; Poales; Poaceae. The record is from RNAcentral.
UACUUCCAGCACUUAGGCGGCCCGUCAAGAAGAGAGUGCGCCGGCUGGCGAGCGACGAGCAGGCCGCCGCCGGAUGAUACGCCCCACGACGGCUACGCUAGCUGGUCUCUAGGGGCCGGACGGCAGCGGUCUCAGCGGUUCUUGUCCGGCCUUCAACCUCCUUUACGACGCUCGUACGGUUUAGGCCAGCUCUUCUUCCGAUCUCUCUGAGCUUGUUUCUUCGUCGAGGUGUUUGGAGUUCUGCUCGGUUGAAUAGUCCUUUCAUAUGUAGAGGUUGAAAGGUACCACCUACACGAGGUUUUCUAGCCAUAUAGAGCCGUAAAACGGUCACUCUAGUUCUCAUAGGACCUAAAAUGUAUGUCUAUAACCAAUGUUUCUCUACUUUAGUACGACCUGCGUCUCUGUACACGGUACCGCAAGGCGUAGAAUGCCUACUUACCCAUGUCGCAUAGUCGACUACCGGACAGUGUAUAGAGGUGGCUAGACUCACUGUGCUCUAGAAACAACCUUAACAUGUUCCGAAGUGUUCAACCGUGAAGUCUGCUACUCAACUAAGACCUAUAAUAUCCUAGGACCAGUCCAAUGGAUGACUCCGUUGUUGACUUUAGAUUACUACGUGUUUCUUGGGAUGAGGAUUCUCUCCAUCUUGUACAAGAACUAUCGGGGAAGAUGUGGUACAACCUAGCAGACCUUGUAUUCUCCUUGUAGCUUGUUAAACUGCAUUAGCUCGUAGGGUAGGUUGUUGACUGAACCGUUUGUUUAGUUCUAGAAGAUCGAAAUCCACAGUACCUAAAGUCAUGUUCAGUUAGAUAUAUGGUUCUUCUUAUAGUCAUAGAGCUGUCAACCCACUUUCUCUCGUUCGACUUGGCCGAUGGAAAGCGUGCUGUCUUCAACCGUAUAAAGAUGGAGAGUCGACGGUCGUGGUACAAGGGAGGUCUCGAUAGACUACGAGCGUAGGAUACCCGGUUCUUACCACGCGAGUGUUGCCAACAGCUACUGAAGAAACUGCAACCCCCUAGUUUUCUUCUUAACGUCUUGGAGUGACGUAAUCAGCUCUACACCGUCUUCGUUCUCCUUUGGCUCAUGAUGAGACUUGUUCAGUUCUAGCACAAGACACGUUAGAUAUCGAGUCACUUGCUUGAACCUAGUUUCCGAAGGCGUCACGUUCCAGCGCUACAGUGGCCUGUGGAUCAUCUUUAGACCGUUCUUAACGAUGCCUUAUACUACUGGCUCCACCUUACCUCUUGCUGGCCUAUGCAAGGUUGAGAUCUACUCAUGUAUCUAUUACGUCAACACUGUAAACGCAACCCGGGAUAACACGAAGGACGUAACAUAAAACAACCUGGUUUCUAAUGACUCAGAUACCAGUGUCUAGGACUCAUGUCACUCAACAAAUCCAACUACUCGUGAACGCCGGCAGAAGAGUUACUGCAGGUUUGGAUGCUCUCCCUCAUGUUUCUCCCAUUUGACUUGUCACAGAGAGACGAGCACGAAGUAUCACUACCGAGGCACUGGUAUGGUCUCCGGUCCUCCUUCAACGUCUUCGGGUAUCUGUGCACAUCUUCUCUGGAUGAUUCCAACCAGGAAUUCCUCCUGCUACGGCACGGAUCCGGAACGUUCCUUAACAAGACCUUGUAUACGUUCUGUACGAUGAAAAAGAUAAUGGUCCCUCUGCGUAAAUCGACGGUUCUCCUCUUCCGGCCACGCCACCUACGCCACUAUGUACUAGGUGAGGUUGAGGGCUACUUAGAUGAGAGACUGGAACUAAUAAGAUGAACCGCACUCUCUUAUUUCUAGUUUGUAAUU